RNAcentral lists this long non-coding RNA (2186 nucleotides) under Canis lupus familiaris (dog). RNAcentral's name for it is "lncRNA (ENSCAFG00000055472.1)". The record is from RNAcentral. Lineage: Eukaryota; Metazoa; Chordata; Mammalia; Carnivora; Canidae.
UUUUUUUUUUUUUUUUUUAGCAGAAUGUCUGCUUCCUCUGAGAAGGAAAGGAGAGAAGGAGAGAAAAGCUUGAGUGGACACAGAAAUGUUGAGAAACUAGAAGAGUCCUGCUACUCUGUUCUGUUUUCUCUGUGAAUUCCAAAGCAGAGUCAACUUCUGUGAAUCAAAGGAUAGGAGCAGGCUAGGGAAUUUGAGAAGAAUUAUCGGAGCCUAGAAUAAUAACGCACAGAAGAGAGACUGAUGAAAAGCUUAAAGGAUUUCCAGGAAGAUUUAAGUACCCAACUGAAGCUAGAAACUAUAAAUCUGUUCUGGCCCAUCCUUCCACAGCUAUGUGAUUUCCUUUAGCGGUGGUCGGUUGUCCAAACAUAGUUAAACAGAUAAUCCAGGUUGACGACUAGGUUUCAACGUGCAAGCAGUGAGAAACAGAGGGAGACAAAGCUGCUGAGGCUAUUGGAGAAAGGAGAUGAAAAUGAGGUGCACAGUUUCAGGAUAAAAUGCAGAAGAAAAUGAGGCUGGGAUAGAGAAAUAGAAAACUAAUGGAAAACUAAAAAAUCAAGGAUAUGAAAGUUACCUUGAAAUUAAUGUAUGGGUAGAGUGAAAAAAAAGGAGCUGGAGAUUGGAAAGGCAUAUUCGGCAAGCGGGCUGGGGCAGCCUACUACUGCAUACUACAGCUAUCAUUUUAUUUUGUACCAUUAUCUUCCACAGCCAUCCCCGGUACUCAAUAAAUGUUUGUCAAAUUAAACUUAUUCUGAUAUAUAUAGAAAAGAAUUUUUGAGAGAUAAACCACAAGGUACUCUACAUUGUAAAAUACUUUCCUCACACAGACAGAGCACAAAGGUCUUAUAUUCAAGCUAGUAAACCAUUCAAAAGCAAUAGCGAGCACUAAGCCUCCAAUUUCAUCCUAAAACUCAGAGGAUCUGAUUCAAAUACCAUGUUUUGGCCACUACGAUUUAAUUUUAAAACUAGAUGAGUCAUCCUGUUCAUGAGAUAUUUUAAGUAAAGAUUGCCCUGCAUGAAGAGACACCCUAUCUAAGCUUAAAACUAAUACGGAGGAAACACAGCAAAUUAUACACAAUCUCUGUUGCUGGCUUUUUUCCACAGAAAAGUAGAUUAGUUACCAGAAUUUGACUUCACUCAGCUGAAGAAAUUGAUCCUGGGGAUGCAUAUGUUGACAAUCAUUUGUAACCAUAUCUACCUUUCUCGUUUUAGAGGAAGAAAGUCCUUAGAGAUCACUUAAUCCAAGCACUUCAUUAUGCAGCAUGAAGAGAAAGGUUAAGUGAUGUAUCCAAGGUCAUACAGGAAGUAAGCAGCUACACUGUAACCAGGACCAAAUUCCUCCACUACAGUGAAAAUUGCUGGAAUAUUAAAGAAGCUCUCUAGUUUAUUUAUGUAAAGUAUGUAUAUCAGUGAAAUUGAAUAAAAUGGCCAUCAUUUCAAUAGAAGCGAUUGCUUUCCAUCUACCCCCUUAUUAGAACACUGUGGGCUAAAAUCCUACCUAUGAAUCUUCUUUUUUGUUGUAGAUGAGCAAAAGGUUCAAACAGAUGAUAACACCCACACCCACAUACAUUCACAGAUUGAGGGGGAUGGAUAACAGGAAGAUCUAUGAAAACAUAAUUCACAAAUGGAAGUUUCUCUCCCUGGAUAAUUAGAAAUAGGUUUUAUUUGCUUACCUUUUGUUUUUGUUUUUGUUUUCUUGUAAUCCCUGAUGUGUUUGACUAAAAUGGUAAUUAGCUAUAUUUUCCAUUUUGGUUGAAGCACAUUGUAGAUCAUGUGUAGUGUAGUUCUGGUCUCAAGGGGGAAAUGGAUAAUCAGGAGAAUAUUUUUCAAUGUCUCCUCUCUGUAAAGAUUUACUGAGUUGUCUCUAAUGUACACUGACAGCUUCUGCAUUAAAAUUAAAGGAAAGUAGACAUCGAUAUUGUCAAGCAAAAGAAAAAAAAAACCUCUACCCUUUCAUUUUCAUUCUACUAAAAUAAAUCAGGUCUGUAUCUUUUAAUAUUUUAUUAGAAUUGUUCAUUUCUGAAGGUCAAGAGCAAAAGGACUUUUCAAAGUUUAAAAAAGAUUCAAAAAAAGGUGGCAGUUAAUUGAUAGUCCCCAGACACCAACAAAAGUCUGGACUAGAAGCCUAAAAGCUUUAUUAAUUUCCUUGUUCAAGUUACUGGUGUUAUUUGACUAUGCAACUUAACUUC